Molecule: ribosomal RNA, 160 nt
Filed under: uncultured Caldimonas sp.
Lineage: Bacteria; Pseudomonadati; Pseudomonadota; Betaproteobacteria; Burkholderiales; Sphaerotilaceae
Description: partial 16S ribosomal RNA
Rfam family: Bacterial small subunit ribosomal RNA
Source: RNAcentral
GGUACGGUUACGACGGAGGGUUGCCGAAGCCGACCGAGGUGGGAGCCAAUCCCACAAAGCCGGUCGUAGUCCGGAUCGCAGUCUGCAACUCGACUGCGUGAAGUCGGAAUCGCUAGUAAUCGCGGAUCAGCAUGUCGCGGUGAAUACGUUCCCGGGUCUU